UGUAAAAUAAGCUAAGUUUUUAAGCUGUUAGAUUCAUAUUCUAAAGAUGAGAUUUUAGUCUCUUUUAUAA
Molecule: transfer RNA, 70 nt
Filed under: Nemertopsis sp. WYS-2013
Lineage: Eukaryota; Metazoa; Nemertea; Enopla; Monostilifera; Emplectonematidae
Description: tRNA-Met
Rfam family: tRNA
About the family: Transfer RNA (tRNA) molecules are approximately 80 nucleotides in length.
Source: RNAcentral